GGGCCGUGGCUCGCCUUGCCGGGGGAUCGCUGCCUGCCGCAGCGCCACCCUCCCAAAGGAACAUGGGCCACAGAGAGUCACACCACCACUGGGCUCCUGUUUCUGCCCGCUGUGUAGCUUUGGGUGACAAUCAGGAGAGUUUGAAAGCGCCUCUCCCUCUGGCGCUCCCAAGGCCUUCAUCAUUCGAAACUGGAGUGCAGCUGGACCCCCAUGCAAAGACCCAUUUGGGGUGGGUGAACUCCACUGCAACAGUCCAUCCAUGUUGUCUUUCGGUUUGAGAAAAGGAAACAAUAAAUAUAGAUUUUGUUAAAGAAAAAAA
Equus caballus (horse) is the source of this 319-nucleotide non-coding RNA. The record is from RefSeq and is a predicted model, not a curated record. NCBI's taxonomy places the organism in Eukaryota, Metazoa, Chordata, Mammalia, Perissodactyla, Equidae.